CCUACGGGAGGCAGCAGUAGGGAAUAUUGCUCAAUGGGGGAAACCCUGAAGCAGCAACGCCGCGUGGAGGAUGAAGGUUUUCGGAUUGUAAACUCCUUUUGUGAGAGAAGAUAAUGACGGUAUCUCACGAAUAAGCACCGGCUAACUCCGUGCCAGCAGCCGCGGUAAUACGGAGGGUGCAAGCGUUACUCGGAAUCACUGGGCGUAAAGAGCGCGUAGGCGGGCUAGUAAGUCAGAUGUGAAAUCCUAUAGCUUAACCAGAGAACUGCAUUUGAAACUGUUAGUCUAGAGUGUGGGAGAGGUAGGUGGAAUUCUUGGUGUAGGGGUAAAAUCCGUAGAUAUCAAGAGGAAUACUCAUUGCGAAGGCGACCUGCUGGAACAUUACUGACGCUGAUGCGCGAAAGCGUGGGGAGCAAACAGGAUUAGAUACCCGUGUAGUC
Molecule: ribosomal RNA, 440 nt
Filed under: uncultured bacterium
Lineage: Bacteria
Description: partial 16S ribosomal RNA
Rfam family: Bacterial small subunit ribosomal RNA
Source: RNAcentral